UACGGGAGGCAGCACUGGGGAAUAUUGCACAAUGGGCGAAAGCCUGAUGCAGCUAUGCCGCGUGUAUGAAGAAGGCCUUAGGGUUGUAAAGUACUUUCAUCGGGGAGGAAAAACAAAACUAAUAAUUUUAUUUCUUGACGUUACCCGAAAAAGAAGCACCGGCUAACUCCGUGCCAGCAGCCGCGGUAAUACGGAGGGUGCUAGCGUUAAUCAGAAUUACUGGGCGUAAAGAGCACGUAGGUGGUUUUUUUAAGUCAGAUGUGAAAUCCCUGGGCUUAACCUAGGAACUGCAUUUUGAAACUGAAAUACUAGAGUAUCGUAGAGGGAGGUAGAAUUCUAGGUGUAGCGGUGAAAUGCGUAGAUAUCUGGAGGAAUACCUGUGGCGAAAGCGGCCUCCUAAACGAAUACUGACACUGAGGUGCGAAAGCGUGGGGAGCAAACAGGGAUUAGAUACC
This 455-nucleotide ribosomal RNA is filed under the name uncultured bacterium. RNAcentral describes it as "bacterial SSU rRNA". It matches the Rfam family "Bacterial small subunit ribosomal RNA", at positions 340 to 786 of the family's 1533-position model. The record is from RNAcentral.